CACGGAGUUAGCCGGUGCUUAUUCUCAGUGGUACCUUCAAUUCCAGAUAAAUCUGUAUUUUAUUCCCCUGCUAAAGUGAGUUUACAACCCAUAGGGCCUUAUUCCUCCACGCGGGAUGGCUGGAUCAGAGUUGCCUCCAUUGUCCAAUAUUCCUUACUGCUGCCUCCCGUAGGCCCCCCGUGCCCCCA
Molecule: ribosomal RNA, 188 nt
Filed under: uncultured bacterium
Lineage: Bacteria
Description: partial 16S ribosomal RNA
Source: RNAcentral